Molecule: ribosomal RNA, 497 nt
Filed under: uncultured bacterium
Lineage: Bacteria
Description: partial 16S ribosomal RNA
Rfam family: Bacterial small subunit ribosomal RNA
Source: RNAcentral
GAUGAACGCUGGCGGCGUGUCUAAUACAUGCAAGUCGAGCGAACAGACGAGGAGCUUGCUCCUCUGACGUUAGCGGCGGACGGGUGAGUAACACGUGGAUAACCUACCUAUAAGACUGGGAUAACUUCGGGAAACCGGAGCUAAUACCGGAUAAUAUAUUGAACCGCAUGGUUCAAUAGUGAAAGACGGUUUUGCUGUCACUUAUAGAUGGAUCCGCGCCGCAUUAGCUAGUUGGUAAGGUGACGGCUUACCAAGGCAACGAUGCGUAGCCGACCUGAGAGGGUGAUCGGCCACACUGGAACUGAGACACGGUCCAGACUCCUACGGGAGGCAGCAGUAGGGAAUCUUCCGCAAUGGGCGAAAGCCUGACGGAGCAACGCCGCGUGAGUGAUGAAGGUCUUCGGAUCGUAAAACUCUGUUAUUAGGGAAGAACAAAUGUGUAAGUAACUAUGCACGUCUUGACGGUACCUAAUCAGAAAGCCACGGCUAACUACGUG